UAUUAGGAAAAAACCUUUCCCGGGUUUGCCACCCCCGGGAACAUGUAGGAAAACGGGGUUCCUUUUGGGGCCGUGCACACGGGGGGCAUGGCUGUUUUCUGCUUGUGUUUUGAGAUGUUGGGGUAAAUUUCGCAAAGAGCGCAAACCCCGUUCCCUGUUUCCCCCGCGUAAAGUCGGGGACUCAUGGGAGACUGCCGGGGACAAAUCGGAGGAAGGUGGGGAUGACGUCAAGUCAUCAUGCCCCUUAUGUCCAGGGCUUCACACAUGCUACAAUGGCCGGUACAAAGGGCUGCGAAACCGUGAGGGGGAGCGAAUCCCAAAAAGCCGGUCUCAGUUCGGAAUGGAGUCUGCAACUUGCCUCCAUGAAGUCGGAUCCGGGUUAAUACCCU
This 389-nucleotide ribosomal RNA is filed under the name uncultured bacterium. RNAcentral describes it as "partial 16S ribosomal RNA". It matches the Rfam family "Bacterial small subunit ribosomal RNA", at positions 956 to 1334 of the family's 1533-position model. The record is from RNAcentral.